This is a long non-coding RNA of Larimichthys crocea (large yellow croaker), 178 nucleotides long. RefSeq lists it as uncharacterized. NCBI's taxonomy places the organism in Eukaryota, Metazoa, Chordata, Actinopteri, Sciaenidae. The record is from RefSeq and is a predicted model, not a curated record. The transcript is spliced from 3 exons.
AUGGAUGUGUGACUGGCAUGCAGUGUUUUCUGAACAUGAUGAACACCAACAUAUGAAAAGCAGCAGGAGACCGCAGAUGUAGUGAACCCCAUGACACACCGUUGAGCAAGAUGUUCCAUAGAUGUUCAUCCUCCUGGUUCAUGUUAAAUGUCAUGCAGUAAUCAAAGCAAAGAGCUUC